Molecule: ribosomal RNA, 508 nt
Filed under: uncultured bacterium
Lineage: Bacteria
Description: partial 16S ribosomal RNA
Rfam family: Bacterial small subunit ribosomal RNA
Source: RNAcentral
GACGAACGCUGGCGGCGUGCCUAAUACAUGCAAGUCGAACGCUUCUUUCCUCCGGGGUCUUUGCACUCAAUUGAAAAGAGAAGUGAGGUAGGGAAGAGUAAGAGGUAGGUAACCUAACAGAAGGAGGGGGAUAACACUUGGAAACAGGUGAUAAUACCCCAAAAAAGUUAAUGCCGCAGGGCAUAGGGGUUACAGGCGCUUUAGGGUGUCGCUGAGGGAGGGACCCGCGGUGCAUUCGCUAGUGGGGGAGGGAACCGCUCACAAAGGCCAAGAUGCAUAGCCGACCUGAUAGGGUGAUCGCCCACACUGGGACUGAGACACGGCCCAGACUCCUACGGGCGGCAGCAGUCGGGAAUCUUCGGCAAUGGACGAAAGUCUGCCCGAGCAACGCCGCGUGAGCGAAGAACGUUGUCGGAUCGUAAAACUCUGUUGUUAGAGAAGAACAAGGCCGUUAGUAACUGAACGUCGCCUGACGGUAUCUAACCAGAAAGCCACGGCUAACUACGUG